GACGAACGCUGGCGGCGUGCUUAACACAUGCAAGUCGAACGGAAAGGCCCUGCCUUUGUGGGGUGCUCGAGUGGCGAACGGGUGAGUAACACGUGAGUAACCUGCCCUUGACUUUGGGAUAACUUCAGGAAACUGGGGCUAAUACCGGAUAGGAGCUCCUGCUGCAUGGUGGGGGUUGGAAAGUUUCGGCGGUUGGGGAUGGACUCGCGGCUUAUCAGCUUGUUGGUGGGGUAGUGGCUUACCAAGGCUUUGACGGGUAGCCGGCCUGAGAGGGUGACCGGCCACAUUGGAACUGAGAUACGGCCCAGACUCCUACGGGAGGCAGCAGUGGGGAAUAUUGCACAAUGGGCGGAAGCCUGAUGCAGCAACGCCGCGUGCGGGAUGACGGCCUUCGGGUUGUAAACCGCUUUCGCCUGUGACGAAGCGUGAGUGACGGUAAUGGGUAAAGAAGCACCGGCUAACUACGUG
RNAcentral lists this ribosomal RNA (468 nucleotides) under uncultured bacterium. Its description in RNAcentral is "partial 16S ribosomal RNA". It matches the Rfam family "Bacterial small subunit ribosomal RNA", at positions 28 to 507 of the family's 1533-position model. The record is from RNAcentral.